AGAGUUUGAUCAUGGCUCAGGACGAACGCUGGCGGCGUGCUUAACACAUGCAAGUGGUGCGACGAACCAGGGCUUGCCCUGGGGCAAAGCCGCGAACGGGUGAGUAACACGUGAGUAACCUGCCCCGAUGACCGGGACAACCCGAGGAAACUCGGGCUAAUACCGGAUGUGGCGCACGGAUUUAAGUCUGUGCGCUAAAGGAAGCUUCGGCCUCCGCAUUGGGAGGGGCUCGCGGCCCAUUAGCUUGUUGGUGGGGUAACGGCCUACCAAGGCAACGAUGGGUAGCUGGUCUGAGAGGACGAUCAGCCACACUGGGACUGAGACACGGCCCAGACUCCUACGGGAGGCAGCAGUGGGGAAUCUUGCGCAAUGCGCGAAAGCGGCGCAGCAACGCCGCGUGGGGGAAGACGGCCUUCGGGUUGUAAACCCCUUUCAGGAGGGACGAAGGUUCACCGGUGAAUAGCCGUGUGGAUUGACGGUACCUCCAGAAGAAGCUCCGGCUAACUACGUGCCAGCAGCCGCGGUAAUACGUAGGGAGCAAGCGUUGUCCGGAAUCAUUGGGCGUAAAGCGCGCGUAGGCGGCCCUGUAAGUCCGCUGUGAAAGUCAAAGGCUCAACCUUUGAAAGCCGGUGGAUACUGCAGGGCUAGAGUCCGGAAGAGGCGAGUGGAAUUCCUGGUGUAGCGGUGGAAUGCGCAGAUAUCAGGAGGAACACCAAUAGCGAAGGCAGCUCGCUGGGACGGUACUGACGCUAAGGCGCGAAAGCGUGGGGAGCGAACAGGAUUAGAUACCCUAGUAGUCC
Molecule: ribosomal RNA, 800 nt
Filed under: uncultured bacterium
Lineage: Bacteria
Description: bacterial SSU rRNA
Rfam family: Bacterial small subunit ribosomal RNA
Source: RNAcentral